RNAcentral lists this long non-coding RNA (1677 nucleotides) under Homo sapiens (human). RNAcentral describes it as "HSALNT0383355". The record is from RNAcentral. Lineage: Eukaryota; Metazoa; Chordata; Mammalia; Primates; Hominidae.
ACUAUUUGUCCUUGAAUUAAGCAAUGAAGAAGACAACUUUCUACACUUAGAGUAAAUGCAAACAAUUACUUUUCUGGGUCCUCACUGAUUUUUCCAUUUAUCUGCUUCACCUCUCCUCUCUUUCCUUUCUGUUUUCUUCUCUCUCUUUCUCUCUUUCCUUUUCUUUCCCUUUAAUUCUGGCCCCAAAGUAUGGGCUUGGCCAGAGGAAAUACUCAGAAUGAAGGAUUGCAUCUUCCGACCAGAAGCAGGUGCUGAGGAUGGAUAUGACAUCAAAACAGAAGGGAAAUACCAAUUAUUUUGAUGGAAAUUAUUUGAAGGCAUUGGAAUACAAAUCUGUGUGAAGUGAGUUAAAUCUCCGCAAGGCCAAGAUACACUGUGUUUAAUUACACCUUCAUGGAAACUCAAUUAUAUCCUUCUUGCUGAUAGAAAACUGAAUUCCUUAAAAAUUAAAUGAAUUAAAAUUUGUGUAUGACAGGACUAUUAUACCCAUAACAGUUCCACUGCAAGUACAUGAGACUGUCAUGGCAAUAACUGAAAAACUAAAGGAGAUGUCUAUGUAGACAGCUGCUCAUUUACUGCCUGAGGCUCAGAAUCAAUCAUAACUCCAGGUGAACUGAAUCCCUCAGAGCACCAAGGGAAACCUGAGAAGCAUUCCAGGAGACCUCCGUUUGACUGGCUUUUCGGAUAUAUAUAACACAGGCUGAAGUGUGCUGUCAAAACUCAUCAUUUAAGUAUUGUAAACUCCAUUAAAAUAUUCCUUUAAAAGAGAAAGAGCUGCAGACUUGAUACAGGAAGGAUCUCUUCCAUGAUUCUGGGAUUUGGAGCUCAGGUGGUACAACGGUGAUGAAGAUGGAGAUGUGGACGUGGCCAGUGUAAACAUGGUGACUUAGCAGGGAGGACUGAUGAGUGAGGAGAGAGCAGAUGUAAUUGAAAGAGGAGAGGACUAGCCUCAGUACCCUGUGAAACAUUAGCAUUGACUACUGGGCAGGGAAGGAAGAAGCCUCGAAGGGACCUCAGAGGAGUGGUCUCUAUCCCACAGGAGUGUAUACUUUCUUUCCAGUUCUCUUUGGAUCUUUGACAAAGGAAAAUAAAAUCUAUUGUUAAGCAUUAACCAUCUCUCAAGAUAUGUUUUCCAAAAUUGUGUCUUUCCUUUAAAAUAUUCCCCAAUGCCUUCUAUUUAUUUUUUUGGGAAUUUUCUGUGAAUACUUGACCAACAUUUAUUGAGCACCUACUGUAUAGGCCCUAUCACAAGUAACAGUCACUUACACUUGCAUUAUCUCAUAUAAUGUUCACUGUCAAUGUAGAUGGGAAAUUGAUGCCCACACUGACAACGGUCCUGGAUCACAUAGCAGUAGGAAGACAGGGCCAGAAUUUGAACCUGUAUUUUCUGAAUCCUGUGAUCUUUCCACGAUGGUUGGUUGGUAUGGCUAUUUGAUACAUAUAUUGGUCAUAAAAUAUAUGUUCUUAUAUCCUUCUCAAAAGUUUAAGAUUGAUGGCUUGUGCAACCAGUCAUGUUACUACACAGUGAUACUUGAGAGUAUUGUAAAAGGCAUCAAAUAUCUAACCCUCCCAACAGAUGUCUCUCUGGCUUAUGCAGAACCUGUAUGACAAGGGACCAGAGAUAUGUGUUGGGUGAUUAUCCUCUGAACUCAGUCUCUACAAAUUUCAGUGUUUAGA